GGAGAGGUGUCCGAGUGGUUGAAGGAGCACGCCUGGAAAGUGUGUAAGUGGGUUAAACCGCUUCGCGGGUUCGAAUCCCGCCCUCUCCGCCA
This 92-nucleotide transfer RNA is filed under the name Rhodanobacter sp. RNAcentral describes it as "tRNA-Ser". It matches the Rfam family "tRNA". Rfam says of the family: Transfer RNA (tRNA) molecules are approximately 80 nucleotides in length. RNAcentral also lists the same sequence under 1 other name. The record is from RNAcentral. Lineage: Bacteria; Pseudomonadati; Pseudomonadota; Gammaproteobacteria; Lysobacterales; Rhodanobacteraceae.